This 777-nucleotide ribosomal RNA is filed under the name uncultured Neocallimastigales. RNAcentral describes it as "partial large subunit ribosomal RNA". It matches the Rfam family "Eukaryotic large subunit ribosomal RNA", at positions 26 to 639 of the family's 3401-position model. Lineage: Eukaryota; Fungi; Neocallimastigomycota; Neocallimastigomycetes; Neocallimastigales. The record is from RNAcentral.
CGCAUCUGUGCAUGCAGCAUAUCAAUAAGCGGAGGAAAAGAAACUAACAAGGAUUCCCUUAGUAACGGCGAGUGAAGCGGGAAGAGCUCAAAUUUGAAAUCUUCAAGGUUUUACCUUGACGAAUUGUAGUUUAAAGAAGUGUUUUCUGUUGAAGUUUUGGUAAAAGUUCUUUGGAAUAGGACAUCAUAGAGGGUGAGAAUCCCGUAUUUGACCAUUAUUUUCAGCUGUGUGAUACACUUUCAAAGAGUCGGAUUGUUUGGGAAUGCAGUCCAAAAUGGGUGGUAAAUUUCAUCUAAAGCUAAAUAUUGGCGAGAGACCGAUAGCGAACAAGUACCGUGAGGGAAAGAUGAAAAGAACUUUGAAAAGAGAGUUAAACAGUACGUGAAAUUGUCAAAAGGGAAGCGUUUGACACCAGUGUUGUUUUCUCGAAAAUCAAUUAAAAAGAGUUUGAUUUUGUUGUGUAUUGACCUUAACAGCUUGCAUUUCAAUCUUUCUUCAGCUUUUUUUAAUGCACUUUUCGUUUAACAAGUCAACAUCAGUUUCUUUUGUUGUAAAAAGGUCAUUGGAAGGUGGCUUUCUUUUCGGAGAAAGUGUUUAUAGCCUUUGACUCCUGCAAUCGGAGAGACUGAGGUCUGCAGCGUAGAUCCCUCGGGGUUAGAUACAUUUGUGCUAAGUUAUAGCUUUUUAUAGACAACUUGUUGACUAUGAUUAGUCUUGUAGCUUACUCGCUUAUGCUAUUUUACCUACGCUUAGGAUGUUGACGCGCGUGUGUGCGUG